CGCCCACAUUUCACAUAAUUAUUCAUUCUAAAAUUAUUCUAGUUCCAAAACGUUUAACUUUCAUAAUAUUUUAUGUUUAAUCAUCGAUCAAAAUAUUGUAGUUGUAUUAAGAGAUUUAACAUUACUAUAUAUCUCAUAUAUAGGAAGUGAUAUAUUCCUUUUCCCUUUAAACUCUAGGAUUCUUGUCGGAUUCAAACAUAUUCAUAAAUAUCAGAAAAUGUAAAACUCGUCUCGUUAGUCAUUAGCCUACCUUGUGGGCAGUCGUGUUUCAACCACAACAGAAAUCAGUUAGGGAGCAACGCUCUACCUAUUAUAUAAUCCUAACUCAGCCUAGUAUCAUCUCAUAUUUCCGACUGAUGAUCUAUUAGCUCUGAUACUAACUGUGACGUCCUACUUCUCAGUGAGUCAUCCAUCCUAGAACUAAUCUAUAGUCCUCUCAUAUUUCCGACUGAUGAUCUAUUAGCUCUGAUACUAACUGUGACGUCCUACUUCUCAGUGGGUCAUCCAUCCUAGAACUAAUCUAUAGUCCUGACACGAUUAAUUUUCUUAACUUCUUGAUUUUAACCAUCGUCUAAAAUGCUAGUCUCUUUUUUUUUUAGAGAGAAAUGUAGCAUGCUAGCUGCUUUGUUUAUUUCAUUUAGAAAUGAACUUAGCUGGAAAUGUGAAUCAACUAAGAUUCGAACUUGGGUCUCGGGUACCAACCACCAAGCCCUUUGCCACUUGCUCUACUAUAGUCAAGUUAAAAGUUUAGCCCUAUUAUAUAUUUCUCAUAUGUAA
This 777-nucleotide long non-coding RNA is filed under the name Ananas comosus (pineapple). Its description in RNAcentral is "long non-coding RNA (ACOM_LNC034848)". The record is from RNAcentral. Lineage: Eukaryota; Viridiplantae; Streptophyta; Magnoliopsida; Poales; Bromeliaceae.